RNAcentral lists this ribosomal RNA (406 nucleotides) under uncultured bacterium. RNAcentral describes it as "partial 16S ribosomal RNA". It matches the Rfam family "Bacterial small subunit ribosomal RNA", at positions 29 to 526 of the family's 1533-position model. The record is from RNAcentral.
AUUGAACGCUGGCGGCAGGCCUAACACAUGCAAGUCGAACGAGUGGCGGACGGGUGAGUAAUGUCUGGGAAACUGCCUGAUGGCGGGGGAUAACUACUGGAAACGGUAGCUAAUACCGCAUACCCUCGGAUGUGCCCCGAUGGGAUUAGCUAGUAGGUGGGGUAAAAGCUCACCUAGGCGACGAUCCCUAGCUGGUCGGAGAGGAUGAACAGCCAAACGGGAACUGAGAAACGGUCCAGAGUCCGACGGGAGGCAGCAGUGGGUAAUAUUGCACAAUGGGCGCAAGCCUGAUGCAGCCAUGCCGCGUGUGGGAAGAAGGCCUUCGGGUUGUAAAGCACUGUCAGCGAGGAGGCGUUACUCGCAGAAGAAGCACCGGCUAACUCCGUGCCAGCAGCCGCGGUAAUUC